Molecule: ribosomal RNA, 423 nt
Filed under: uncultured bacterium
Lineage: Bacteria
Description: bacterial SSU rRNA
Rfam family: Bacterial small subunit ribosomal RNA
Source: RNAcentral
AGGGAAUCUUCCGCAAUGGACGAAAGUCUGACGGAGCAACGCCGCGUGAGUGAUGAAGGUUCUCGGAUCGUAAAGCUCUGUUGCCAGGGAAGAACGUCCUUAAGAGUAACUGCUUAAGGAGUGACGGUACCUGAGAAGAAAGCCCCGGCUAACUACGUGCCAGCAGCCGCGGUAAUACGUAGGGGGCAAGCGUUGUCCGGAAUUAUUGGGCGUAAAGCGCGCGCAGGCGGCUGUUAAGUCUGGUGGUUAAUCCUGGGGCUCAACCCCGGGUCGCACUGGAAACUGGACGGCUUGAGUGCAGAAGAGGAGAGUGGAAUUCCACGUGUAGCGGUGAAAUGCGUAGAGAUGUGGAGGAACACCAGUGGCGAAGGCGACUCUCUGGGCUGUAACUGACGCUGAGGCGCGAAAGCGUGGGGAGCAAAC